Molecule: ribosomal RNA, 465 nt
Filed under: Vreelandella stevensii
Lineage: Bacteria; Pseudomonadati; Pseudomonadota; Gammaproteobacteria; Oceanospirillales; Halomonadaceae
Description: partial 16S ribosomal RNA
Rfam family: Bacterial small subunit ribosomal RNA
Source: RNAcentral
CCUACGGGAGGCUGCAGUGGGGAAUAUUGGACAAUGGGGGGAACCCUGAUCCAGCCAUGCCGCGUGUGUGAAGAAGGCCCUCGGGUUGUAAAGCACUUUCAGUGAGGAAGAACGCCUGGUGGUUAAUACCCAUCAGGAAAGACAUCACUCACAGAAGAAGCACCGGCUAACUCCGUGCCAGCAGCCGCGGUAAUACGGAGGGUGCGAGCGUUAAUCGGAAUUACUGGGCGUAAAGCGCGCAUAGGUGGCUUGAUAAGCCGGUUGUGAAAGCCCCGGGCUCAACCUGGGAACGGCAUCCGGAACUGUCAAGCUAGAGUGCAGGAGAGGAAGGUAGAAUUCCCGGUGUAGCGGUGAAAUGCGUAGAGAUCGGGAGGAAUACCAGUGGCGAAGGCGGCCUUCUGGACUGACACUGACUCUGAGGUGCGAAAGCGUGGGUAGCAAACAGGAUUAGAUACCCGAGUAGUC